This 77-nucleotide transfer RNA is filed under the name Clostridiales bacterium. RNAcentral describes it as "tRNA-Pro". It matches the Rfam family "tRNA". Rfam says of the family: Transfer RNA (tRNA) molecules are approximately 80 nucleotides in length. Their secondary structure includes four short double-helical elements and three loops (D, anti-codon, and T loops). The record is from RNAcentral. Lineage: Bacteria; Bacillati; Bacillota; Clostridia; Eubacteriales.
CGAGGCGUAGCUCAGUUUGGUAGAGUGCUACGUUCGGGACGUAGAUGCCGCAGGUUCAAAUCCUGUCGCCUCGGCCA